RNAcentral lists this ribosomal RNA (460 nucleotides) under uncultured bacterium. Its description in RNAcentral is "partial 16S ribosomal RNA". It matches the Rfam family "Bacterial small subunit ribosomal RNA", at positions 338 to 795 of the family's 1533-position model. The record is from RNAcentral.
CCUACGGGAGGCAGCAGUGACGAAUAUUGGUCAAUGGACGAGAGUCUGAACCAGCCAAGUAGCGUGAAGGAUGACUGCCCUAUGGGUUGUAAACUUCUUUUAUAUGGGAAUAAAAUGUUCCACGUGUGGGAUUUUGUAUGUAGCAUAUGAAUAAGGAUCGGCUAACUCCGUGCCAGCAGCCGCGGUAAUACGGAGGAUCCGAGCGUUAUCCGGAUUUAUUGGGUUUAAGGGGAGCGUAGGUGGAUUGUUAAGUCAGUUGUGAAAGUUUGCGGCUCAACCGUAAAAUUGCAGUUGAAACUGGCAGUCUUGAGUACAGUAGAGGUGGGCGGAAUUCGUGGUGUAGCGGUGAAAUGCUUAGAUAUCACGAAGAACUCCGAUUGCGAAGGCAGUUCACUGGACUGCAACUGACACUGAGGCUCGAAAGUGUGGGUAUCAAACAGGAUUAGAUACCCCUGUAGUC